This 1019-nucleotide ribosomal RNA is filed under the name uncultured bacterium. RNAcentral describes it as "bacterial SSU rRNA". It matches the Rfam family "Bacterial small subunit ribosomal RNA", at positions 355 to 1375 of the family's 1533-position model. The record is from RNAcentral.
UGAGGAAUAUUGGUCAAUGGCCGAGAGGCUGAACCAGCCAAGUCGCGUGAAGGAAGAAGGAUCUAUGGUUUGUAAACUUCUUUUAUAGGGGAAUAAAGUGGAGGACGUGUCCUUUUUUGUAUGUACCCUAUGAAUAAGCAUCGGCUAACUCCGUGCCAGCAGCCGCGGUAAUACGGAGGAUGCGAGCGUUAUCCGGAUUUAUUGGGUUUAAAGGGUGCGUAGGUGGUGAUUUAAGUCAGCGGUGAAAGUUUGUGGCUCAACCAUAAAAUUGCCGUUGAAACUGGGUUACUUGAGUGUGUUUGAGGUAGGCGGAAUGCGUGGUGUAGCGGUGAAAUGCAUAGAUAUCACGCAGAACUCCGAUUGCGAAGGCAGCUUACUAAACCAUAACUGACACUGAAGCACGAAAGCGUGGGGAUCAAACAGGAUUAGAUACCCUGGUAGUCCACGCAGUAAACGAUGAUUACUAGGAGUUUGCGAUACAAUGUAAGCUCUACAGCGAAAGCGUUAAGUAAUCUACCUGGGGAGUACGCCGGCAACGGUGAAACUCAAAGGAAUUGACGGGGGCCCGCACAAGCGGAGGAACAUGUGGUUUAAUUUGAUGAUACGCGAGGAACCUUACCCGGGUUUGAACGUAGUCUGACCGGAGUGGAAACACUCUUUCUAGCAAUAGCAGAUUACGAGGUGCUGCAUGGUUGUCGUCAGCUCGUGCCGUGAGGUGUCGGCUUAAGUGCCAUAACGAGCGCAACCCUUAUCACUAGUUACUAACAGGUGAAGCUGAGGACUCUGGUGAGACUGCCAGCGUAAGCUGUGAGGAAGGUGGGGAUGACGUCAAAUCAGCACGGCCCUUACAUCCGGGGCGACACACGUGUUACAAUGGCAUGGACAAAGGGCAGCUACCUGGCGACAGGAUGCUAAUCUCCAAACCAUGUCUCAGUUCGGAUCGGAGUCUGCAACUCGACUCCGUGAAGCUGGAUUCGCUAGUAAUCGCGCAUCAGCCAUGGCGCGGUGAAUACGUUCCC